UACGGGGGGGGCAAGCGUUGUUCGGAAUUACUGGGCGUAAAGGGCUCGUAGGCGGCCAACUAAGUCAGACGUGAAAUCCCUCGGCUUAACCGGGGAACUGCGUCUGAUACUGGUUGGCUUGAGUGUGGGAGAGGGAUGCGGAAUUCCAGGUGUAGCGGUGAAAUGCGUAGAUAUCUGGAGGAACACCGGUGGCGAAGGCGGCAUCCUGGACCAUUACUGACGCUGAGGAGCGAAAGCCAGGGGAGCGAACAGG
RNAcentral lists this ribosomal RNA (253 nucleotides) under uncultured bacterium. RNAcentral's name for it is "partial 16S ribosomal RNA". It matches the Rfam family "Bacterial small subunit ribosomal RNA", at positions 524 to 776 of the family's 1533-position model. The record is from RNAcentral.